UCCCUGAUAGCUCAGUUGGUAAAGAAUCUGCCUGCAAUGCAGGAGACCCUGAUUUGAUUCCUGGUUUGGGAA
This 72-nucleotide transfer RNA is filed under the name Muntiacus reevesi (Reeves' muntjac). It matches the Rfam family "tRNA". Rfam says of the family: Transfer RNA (tRNA) molecules are approximately 80 nucleotides in length. Their secondary structure includes four short double-helical elements and three loops (D, anti-codon, and T loops). Further hydrogen bonds mediate the characteristic L-shaped molecular structure. tRNAs have two regions of fundamental functional importance: the anti-codon, which is responsible for specific mRNA codon recognition, and the 3' end, to which the tRNAs corresponding amino acid is attached (by aminoacyl-tRNA synthetases). tRNAs cope with the degeneracy of the genetic code in two manners: having more than one tRNA (with a specific anti-codon) for a particular amino acid; and 'wobble' base-pairing, i.e. permitting non-standard base-pairing at the 3rd anti-codon position. Lineage: Eukaryota; Metazoa; Chordata; Mammalia; Artiodactyla; Cervidae. RNAcentral also lists the same sequence under 1 other name. The record is from Rfam by way of RNAcentral.